AGCGAACGCUGGCGGCAGGCCUAACACAUGCAAGUCGAACGAACUCUUCGGAGUUAGUGGCGGACGGGUGAGUAACACGUGGGAACGUGCCUUUAGGUUCGGAAUAACUCAGGGAAACUUGUGCUAAUACCGAAUGUGCCCUUCGGGGAAAGAUUUAUCGCCUUUAGAGCGGCCCGCGUCUGAUUAGCUAGUUGGUGAGGUAAAGGCUCACCAAGGCUACGAUCAGUAGCUGGCCUGAGAGGAUGACCAGCCACAUUGGGACUGAGACACGGCCCAAACUCCUACGGGAGGCAGCAGUGGGGAAUCUUGCGCAAUGGGCGAAAGCCUGACGCAGCCAUGCCGCGUGGAUGAUGAAGGUCUUAGGAUUGUAAAAUCCUUUCACCGGUGAAGAUAAUGACUGUAGCCGGAGAAGAAGCCCCGGCUAACUUCGUG
Molecule: ribosomal RNA, 432 nt
Filed under: uncultured bacterium
Lineage: Bacteria
Description: bacterial SSU rRNA
Rfam family: Bacterial small subunit ribosomal RNA
Source: RNAcentral